GGGGGGGGGGGCUAGGAUGAAAAAUUUUGUCCUGCAUUUUUUUUAGCUGUGAUCUCUGUUCUGCCUUUUUAUUUUUCACUCUAAUCGGUCCUGCCUUUUUUUUUUUUAGUUUAUCCUGACUUUUUUUUACCUAAAUUGUCGUCCUGACUUUUUUUUUUGCAAGUGUCACAUCCUGCCUUUUUUAUUUACUCAAAACUCCUGUCCUGCCUAUUUUUUUUCAAAUUUCAUCCUAGCCCCCCCAUAAAAAUCAAAUGGUAGCUCCUUU
Molecule: long non-coding RNA, 265 nt
Filed under: Mytilus galloprovincialis (Mediterranean mussel)
Lineage: Eukaryota; Metazoa; Mollusca; Bivalvia; Mytilida; Mytilidae
Source: RNAcentral